GACGAACGCUGGCGGCGUGCUUAACACAUGCAAGUCGAACGGAAAGGCCCUGCUUUUGGGGGGUGCUCGAGUGGCGAACGGGUGUGUAACACGUGAGUUACCUGCCUUUGACUUUGGGAUAACUUCAGGAAACUGGGGAUAAUACCGGAUGGGAGCUCCGGCUGUAUGGUGGGGGUUGGAAAGUUUCGGCGGUUGGGGAUGGACUCGCGGCUUAUCAGCUUGUUGGUGGGGUUGUGGCUUACCAAGGCUUUGGCGGGUAGCCGGCCUGAGAGGGUGAGCGGCCACAUUGGGACUGAGAUACGGCCCAGCCUCCUACGGGAGGCAGCAGUGGGGAAUAUUGCACAAUGGGCGGAAGCCUGAUGCAGCAACGCCGCGUGCGGGAUGACGGCCGUCGGGUUGUAAACCGCUUUCGCCUGUGACGAAGCGUGAGUGACGGUAAUGGGUAAAGAAGCACCGGCUAACUACGUG
RNAcentral lists this ribosomal RNA (468 nucleotides) under uncultured bacterium. Its description in RNAcentral is "partial 16S ribosomal RNA". It matches the Rfam family "Bacterial small subunit ribosomal RNA", at positions 28 to 507 of the family's 1533-position model. The record is from RNAcentral.